RNAcentral lists this ribosomal RNA (397 nucleotides) under uncultured bacterium. Its description in RNAcentral is "bacterial SSU rRNA". It matches the Rfam family "Bacterial small subunit ribosomal RNA", at positions 29 to 428 of the family's 1533-position model. The record is from RNAcentral.
AUUGAACGCUGGCGGAAUGCUUUACACAUGCAAGUCGAGCGGCAGUGCGGGGCAACCUGGCGGCGAGCGGCGAACGGGUGAGUAAUGCAUCGGAACGUACCCCGUCGUGGGGGGAUAACUACCCCGAAAGGGUAGCUAAUACCGCAUACGACCUGAGGGUGAAAGCGGGGGACCGAAAGGCCUCGCGCGGAUGGGAGCGGCCGAUGCCGGAUUAGCUAGUUGGUAGGGUAAAGGCCUACCAAGGCGACGAUCCGUAGCUGGUCUGAGAGGACGACCAGCCACACUGGAACUGAGACACGGUCCAGACUCCUACGGGAGGCAGCAGUGGGGAAUUUUGGACAAUGGGCGAAAGCCUGAUCCAGCCAUUCCGCGUGAGUGAAGAAGGCCUCGGUUGUAA